This 391-nucleotide ribosomal RNA is filed under the name Vibrio alginolyticus. RNAcentral's name for it is "bacterial SSU rRNA". It matches the Rfam family "Bacterial small subunit ribosomal RNA", at positions 406 to 789 of the family's 1533-position model. Lineage: Bacteria; Pseudomonadati; Pseudomonadota; Gammaproteobacteria; Vibrionales; Vibrionaceae. The record is from RNAcentral.
UGAAGAAGGCCUUCGGGUUGUAAAGCACUUUCAGUCGUGAGGAAGGUGGUGUAGUUAAUAGCUGCAUUAUUUGACGUUAGCGACAGAAGAAGCACCGGCUAACUCCGUGCCAGCAGCCGCGGUAAUACGGAGGGUGCGAGCGUUAAUCGGAAUUACUGGGCGUAAAGCGCAUGCAGGUGGUUUGUUAAGUCAGAUGUGAAAGCCCGGGGCUCAACCUCGGAAUAGCAUUUGAAACUGGCAGACUAGAGUACUGUAGAGGGGGGUAGAAUUUCAGGUGUAGCGGUGAAAUGCGUAGAGAUCUGAAGGAAUACCGGUGGCGAAGGCGGCCCCCUGGACAGAUACUGACACUCAGAUGCGAAAGCGUGGGGAGCAAACAGGAUUAGAUACCCCC